GCACUGUUGACGAGUCCCAAACAGGGCAAAACAGAUGUCCAGUGC
RNAcentral lists this non-coding RNA (45 nucleotides) under Echinostoma caproni. The record is from RNAcentral. Lineage: Eukaryota; Metazoa; Platyhelminthes; Trematoda; Plagiorchiida; Echinostomatidae.